GACGAACGCUGGCGGCGUGCUUAACACAUGCAAGUCGAACGGAAAGGCCCUGCUUUUGUGGGGUGCUCGAGUGGCGAACGGGUGAGUAACACGUGAGUAACCUGCCCUUGACUUUGGGAUAACUUCAGGAAACUGGGGCUAAUACCGGAUAGGAGCUCCUGCUGCAUGGUGGGGGUUGGAAAGUUUCGGCGGUUGGGGAUGGACUCGCGGUUUAUCAGCUUGUUGGUGGGGUAGUGGCUUACCAAGGCUUUGACGGGUAGCCGGCCUGGGAUGGUGACCGGCCACAUUGGGACUGAGAUACUGCCCAGACUCCUACGGGAGGCAGCAGUGGGGAAUAUUGCACAAUGGGCGGAAGCCUGAUGCAGCAACGCCGCGUGCGGGAUGACGGCCUUCGGGUUGUAAACCGCUUUCGCCUGUGACGAAGCGUGAGUGACGGUAAUGGGUAAAGAAGCACCGGCUAACUACGUG
This 468-nucleotide ribosomal RNA is filed under the name uncultured bacterium. Its description in RNAcentral is "partial 16S ribosomal RNA". It matches the Rfam family "Bacterial small subunit ribosomal RNA", at positions 28 to 507 of the family's 1533-position model. The record is from RNAcentral.